Molecule: ribosomal RNA, 467 nt
Filed under: uncultured bacterium
Lineage: Bacteria
Description: partial 16S ribosomal RNA
Rfam family: Bacterial small subunit ribosomal RNA
Source: RNAcentral
GACGAACGCUGGCGGCGUGCUUAACACAUGCAAGUCGAACGGAAAGGCCCUGCUUUUGUGGGGUGCUCGAGUGGCGAACGGGUGAGUAACACGUGAGUAACCUGCCCUUGACUUUGGGAUAACUUCAGGAAACUGGGGCUAAUACCGGAUAGGAGCUCCUGCUGCAUGGAGGGGGUUGGAAAGUUUCGGCGGUUGGGGAUGGACUCGAGGCUUAUCAGCUUGUUGGUGGGGUAGUGGCUUACCAAGGCUUUGACGGGUAGCCGGCCUGAGAGGGUGACCGGCCACAUUGGGACUGAGAUACGGCCCAGACUCCUACGGGAGUGAGCAGUGGGGAAUAUUGCACAAUGGGCGGAAGCCUGAUGCAGCAACUCCGCGUGCGGGAUGACGGCCUUCGGGUGGUAAACCGCUUUCGCCUGUGACGAAGCGCGAGUGACGGGAAUGGGUAAAGAAGCACCGGCUAACUACGU